Patella vulgata (common limpet) is the source of this 1364-nucleotide long non-coding RNA. RefSeq lists it as uncharacterized. NCBI's taxonomy places the organism in Eukaryota, Metazoa, Mollusca, Gastropoda, Patellidae. The record is from RefSeq and is a predicted model, not a curated record. The transcript has 2 exons.
UUCUGCCACUCUGUCCAUUAAAACCAGAUUUCUAUGGGCGAUUUUUAGAUGACGUUUUCAUAGUCUGGACCUACACACUAGACGAAUUUUUGACGUUUUUCAACAUUCUGAACAAUCAUCAUCCAUCUGUCAAAUUAACCGCAAAUAAACAAUAAUACCAGAAUACCAGAAGCACCACCCAAGGAAGACCAUCAGCGCCACCAACACCAAUAAACAGUGAAAUAGCCUUUGUAUAUAAAUCUAAUGUAUUGUAUGUAUUUUUAAUAAAACCAGGAAAUAUCACGAACUAAUUUUUCAUCAUCCUAGGUCAGUGCUUAUGUGGAGACUUAACCUCUCCCCCAAAUUCUUAAACCUAACCCUCGCCCGCGCCAGGCUGUUGUCAACCUGGUUCGAGAUAUUUCCUUUAUAGAGAUAGUCAAAUCACGCCUGUAUAUAUAAUUUUGUUCUUCACAAAUUCUAUUACUCUUAUUAUUUCAUAAUUUAUGCCUUAUAUUUUUAUAUUAUAAUAUUUGUUAGCCUAUGAUGCAUGUUCUUCUUGAUAUUAUAUUAUUUUUUAUGUUAUAUGUGCCAUUUAAAUAGUCUCCUUAAGCAAUGUAUAUAAAUAUUAACAACUUUAGUAAAAGUCCAUCGACUAGAAUUGCAUCAUAAAAUUUAAACUCAGUUUCUAUAUUUAUGUCCAUACUUAAUAUUUCCUCGCCUUAACUGAUUCUCCCAAGCAGACGGGCCUAUUUGUUCCAUCAAUAGCUAAAAAAACCGCUUAAUUCCCUAUUUAAAUCAUUAAUUUCCAUUAUUCAAAAUCCUUUCACUGUAAUCACUAAACUGAUCGACCGAUCACCAAUGCAAACACGGCAGAAAUUUAAAAUUAAAACAUUCAUUAUCUUUUGAUCAAAUCCAAUCAUAACAAUGAGCUGCCAUACUGAAUACUCAUCUUAAUCUGUUCAAUUUACUCAUCACUUCAAUUAAAGCCGCUACUUAAUCAUCCACUCAAUAACUCACAAACAUAUCACUCAUGUGUUUAAUUAGAAUCAGGGCUUGCCCAAAUUAAUUUUGAAUGGCUUAUCUCUUCUUGAUGGCUACAAAUAGGCUAGAAAGUUUCAAUUAAGUUAGACUAUCAUCGCUUGAUAAAGGAUACCACUCCGAAAAGUGCAACAGACUAUCAUCGCUUGAUAAAGGAUACCACUCCGAAAUGUGCAUCGCGAUAUAAUCGAGGAACUACCCAUCUAUAUUAUAUGUAAGAUUCUUUUUCUCUCUUUAUAUUUUUAUGUAUUUUUAUUUUUAUAUCUGUUAAUAGUUUUAAAUUGAACAAUUGACAUUACACAAUAUACUAUACUGUGUAAUUAAUAAACCUCAAAGUUCAAACGAUU